AUUGAACGCUGGCGGCAGGCCUAACACAUGCAAGUCGAGCGGAUGAAGGGAGCUUGCUCCUGGAUUCAGCGGCGGACGGGUGAGUAAUGCCUAGGAAUCUGCCUGGUAGUGGGGGAUAACGUCCGGAAACGGGCGCUAAUACCGCAUACGUCCUGAGGGAGAAAGUGGGGGAUCUUCGGACCUCACGCUAUCAGAUGAGCCUAGGCCGGAUUAGCUAGUUGGUGGGGUAAAGGCCUACCAAGGCGACGAUCCGUAACUGGUCUGAGAGGAUGAUCAGUCACACUGGAACUGAGACACGGUCCAGACUCCUACGGGAGGCAGCAGUGGGGAAUAUUGGACCAUGGGCGAAAGCCUGAUCCAGCCAUGCCGCGUGUGUGAAGAAGGUCUUCGGAUUGUAAAGCACUUUAAGUUGGGAGGAAGGGCAGUAAGUUAAUACCUUGCUGUUUUGACGUUACCAACAGAAUAAGCACCGGCUAACUUCGUG
Molecule: ribosomal RNA, 484 nt
Filed under: uncultured bacterium
Lineage: Bacteria
Description: partial 16S ribosomal RNA
Rfam family: Bacterial small subunit ribosomal RNA
Source: RNAcentral